RNAcentral lists this ribosomal RNA (441 nucleotides) under uncultured bacterium. RNAcentral's name for it is "partial 16S ribosomal RNA". It matches the Rfam family "Bacterial small subunit ribosomal RNA", at positions 338 to 795 of the family's 1533-position model. The record is from RNAcentral.
CCUACGGGUGGCAGCAGUAGGGAAUUUUGCGCAAUGGGCGAAAGCCUGACGCAGCAACGCCGCGUGAUUGAUUAAGCCCUUCGGGGUGUAAAGAUCUGUCAGUGGGGACGAAACUUGACGGUACCCACAGAGGAAGCCCCGGCUAACUACGUGCCAGCAGCCGCGGUAAUACGUAGGGGGCAAGCGUUAUCCGGAUUUACUGGGUGUAAAGGGAGCGUAGACGGCAGCACAAGUCUGGAGUGAAAUGUCGGGGCUUAACCCCGGAACUGCUUUGGAAAUUGUGCAGCUAGAGUGCAGGAGAGGUAAGUGGAAUUCCUAGUGUAGCGGUGAAAUGCGUAGAUAUUAGGAGGAACACCAGUGGCGAAGGCGGCUUACUGGACUGUAACUGACGUUGAGGCUCGAAAGCGUGGGGAGCAAACAGGAUUAGAUACCCUAGUAGUC